AACGGGUGAGUAACACGUGGGUAACCUGCCCAUCAGAAGGGGAUAACACUUGGAAACUGGUGCUAAUACCGUAUAACAAUCAAAACCGCAUGGUUUUGAUUUGAAAGGCGCUUUCGGGUGUCGCUGAUGGAUGGACCCGCGGUGCUUAGCUAGUUGGUGAGGUAACGGCUCACCAAGGCCACGAUGCAUAGCCGAUCUGAGAGGGUGAUCGGCCACAUUGGGACUGAGCCAGGUCCAAACUCUCCACCGGAUGCAGCAGUAGGGAAUCUUCGGCAAUGGACGAAAGUCUCACCGAGCAACGCCGCGUGAGUAAAGAAGGUUUUCGGAUCGUAAAACUCUGUUGUUAGAGAAGAACAAGGAUGAGAGUAACUGUUCAUCCCUUGACUGUAUCUUACCAGAAAGCCACGGCUAACUACGUGCCAGCAGCCGCGGUAAUACGUAGGUGGCAAGCGUUGUCCGGAUUUAUUGGGCGUAAAGCGAGCGCAGGCGGUUUCUUAAGUCUGAUGUGAAAGCCCCCGGGUCAACCGGGGAGGGGCAUUGGAAACUGGGAGACUUGAGUGCAGAAGAGGAGAGUGGAAUUCCAUGUGUAGCCGUGAAAUG
RNAcentral lists this ribosomal RNA (600 nucleotides) under Enterococcus faecium. RNAcentral describes it as "bacterial SSU rRNA". It matches the Rfam family "Bacterial small subunit ribosomal RNA", at positions 101 to 688 of the family's 1533-position model. Lineage: Bacteria; Bacillati; Bacillota; Bacilli; Lactobacillales; Enterococcaceae. The record is from RNAcentral.